This 113-nucleotide small RNA is filed under the name Sinorhizobium meliloti 2011. RNAcentral's name for it is "putative ncRNA". Lineage: Bacteria; Pseudomonadati; Pseudomonadota; Alphaproteobacteria; Hyphomicrobiales; Rhizobiaceae. The record is from RNAcentral.
GUUCCUCAUUUCAGGAGGUUGUUUUCUCCCUCAGAAUUUCGACUAGCGGACAAUCGCACGUGUCGGACAACUGCAGCGCUCCUGAUCGCAUCUGCCAGAGCGCUGUUUUUUUC